GAAAUGCGAUAAGUAGUGUGAAUUGCAGAAUUCAGUGAAUCGUCGAAUCUUUGAACGCACAUUGCGCCCCUUGGUAUUCCAUGGGGCAUGCCUGUUCGAGCGUCAUUUGUACCCUCAAGCUCUGCUUGGUGUUGGGUGUUUGUCCCGUCUCCGCGCGUGGACUCGCCCCAAAGUGAUUGGCAGCCGGCGUACUGGUCCCGGAGCGCAGCACAUGUCGCGCAAACGAGUGCCUUGGUACGGCGGCGUCCAUAAGCCCCUCUCUCACGCUCUUGACCUCGGAUCAGGUAGGGAUACCCGCUGAACUUAAGC
RNAcentral lists this unclassified non-coding RNA (309 nucleotides) under plant metagenome. RNAcentral describes it as "partial contains 5.8S ribosomal RNA, internal transcribed spacer 2, and large subunit ribosomal RNA". The stretch from base 1 to 105 matches the Rfam family "5.8S ribosomal RNA", at positions 50 to 154 of the family's 154-position model. The record is from RNAcentral.